GCUGGGCAUGGUGGCGCAUGCCUAUAGUCCCAGCUACUUGGGAGGCUGAGGCUGGAGGAUCGCUUGAGCCCAGGAGUUCUGGGCUGCAGUGCACUAUGUCGAUGGGGUGUCUGCACUAAGUUCAGCAUCAAUAUGGUGACCUCCCAGGAGCAGGGGACCACCAGGUUGCCUAAGGAGGGGUGAACCAGCCCAGGUCAGAAACGGAGCAGGUCAAAACUCCUGUGCUGAUCAGUAGUGGGACUGCACCUGUGAAUAGCCACUGCACUCCAGCCUGGCAACAUAGCGAGACCCCGUCGCUA
Callithrix jacchus (white-tufted-ear marmoset) is the source of this 299-nucleotide unclassified non-coding RNA. It matches the Rfam family "Metazoan signal recognition particle RNA". Rfam says of the family: The signal recognition particle (SRP) is a universally conserved ribonucleoprotein. It is involved in the co-translational targeting of proteins to membranes. The record is from Ensembl. NCBI's taxonomy places the organism in Eukaryota, Metazoa, Chordata, Mammalia, Primates, Cebidae.